Molecule: ribosomal RNA, 253 nt
Filed under: uncultured bacterium
Lineage: Bacteria
Description: partial 16S ribosomal RNA
Rfam family: Bacterial small subunit ribosomal RNA
Source: RNAcentral
UACGAAGGGGGCUAGCGUUGUUCGGAAUUACUGGGCGUAAAGCGCACGUAGGCGGGUUGUUAAGUCAGGGGUGAAAUCCUGGAGCUCAACUCCAGAACUGCCUUUGAUACUGGCAACCUAGAGACUGGAAGAGGUUAGUGGAAUUCCCAGUGUAGAGGUGAAAUUCGUAGAUAUUGGGAAGAACACCAGUGGCGAAGGCGGCUAACUGGUCCAGAUCUGACGCUGAGGUGCGAAAGCGUGGGGAGCAAACAGG